Non-coding RNA from Podospora conica, 118 nucleotides. Lineage: Eukaryota; Fungi; Ascomycota; Sordariomycetes; Sordariales; Podosporaceae. The record is from the annotation of a GenBank genome assembly.
GGCAAGAUGGCCGAGCGGUCUAAGGCGCCAGGUUCAGGUCCACCUGAAUUUCGCAUUCUAUCCCAGAGUGUUUCCUGGUCGGAGAAAUCCGGCGCGAGUUCGAAUCUCGCUCUUGUCA